Molecule: long non-coding RNA, 215 nt
Filed under: Oryza brachyantha (malo sina)
Lineage: Eukaryota; Viridiplantae; Streptophyta; Magnoliopsida; Poales; Poaceae
Description: long non-coding RNA (OBRA_LNC002138)
Source: RNAcentral
UUCGAGAGCUAGCGACAACGAUCCAGCUCGAUCUCGUCCUCCUGCUGCAGCCUGUACGUAUGCAAGCUCAGUGAUGCAUGCAUGCAUGAAUCGAUGGAUGAAUGAAUGAUUAGUGGCUGAUAUUAAUUAAUUAUUAGUAGUAUAGAUGGAUUAAUUGUGGCAAUCAUGCAUGAUCGAGCUCCUAAUUAAGUGGUGAAGGCAAUUGCAUGCAAAGU